RNAcentral lists this ribosomal RNA (915 nucleotides) under uncultured archaeon. RNAcentral describes it as "bacterial SSU rRNA". It matches the Rfam family "Archaeal small subunit ribosomal RNA", at positions 1 to 922 of the family's 1478-position model. The record is from RNAcentral.
UUCCGGUUGAUCCUGCCGGAGGUCACUGCUACUGGGAUUCGACUAACCCAUGCGAGUCGAGAGGGUUCGGCCCUCGGCUGACUGCUCAGUAACACGUGGAUAAUCUGCCCUAGGGAGGAGGAUAACCUCGGGAAACUGAGAAUAAUACUCCAUAGGUCUAAGAUGCUGGAAUGCAUUUAGACUGAAAACUCCGGUGCCCUAGGAUGAGUCUGCGGACUAUCAGGUUGUAGUCAGGGUAAUGACCUGACUAGCCUACGACGGAUAUGGGUUGUGGAAGCAAUAACCCAGAGAUGAUAUCUGAGACACGAUAUCAGGCCCUACGGGGCGCAGCAGGCGCGAAAACUUCACACUGUGCGAAAGCACGAUGAGGGAAUCCCAAGUGCUUGCACGUAAGUGUAAGCUGUUUCUUUGUUUAAAAUGCAAAGAGAGUAAGGGCUGGGUAAGACGGGUGCCAGCCGCCGCGGUAAUACCUGCAGCUCAAGUGGUGACCGUUAUUAUUGGGCCUAAAACGUUCGUAGCCGGUUUAGUAAAUGCCUGGGUAAAUCGUGUAGCUCAACUAUACGAAUUCCGGGUAGACUGCUAAACUUGAGACCGGGAGAGGCUAGAGGUACUCCUGGGGUAGGGGUGAAAUCCUGUAAUCCUAGGGGGACCACCAGUGGCGAAGGCGUCUAGCUAGAACGGGUCUGACGGUGAGGGACGAAGCCCUGGGGCGCAAACCGGAUUAGAUACCCGGGUAGUCCAGGGUGUAAACGCUGCUUGCUUGAUGUUAGUCGGGCUCCGAGCCCGAUUAGUGUCGGAGAGAAGUUGUUAAGCAAGCUGCCUGGGAAGUACGGUCGCAAGACUGAAACUUAAAGGAAUUGGCGGGGGGGCACAGCAACAGGUGGAGCGUGCGGUUUAAUUGGAUUCAACGCCGGG